AUAGCCACUAGAAAUGGUGGGUAAUACUGUAUAAUCCCUGCGGGGGAAAGAUUUAUCGCUACAUGAUGAGCCUAUGUUAGAUUAGCUAGUUGGUGGGGUAAUGGCCUACCAAGGCAGUGAUCUAUAGCUGGUCUGAGAGGAUGAUCAGCCACACUGGAACUGAGACACGGUCCAGACUCCUACGGGAGGCAGCAGUGGGGAAUAUUGGACAAUGGGCGCAAGCCUGAUCCAGCUAUGCCGCGUGAGUGAGGAAGGCCUUAGGGUUGUAAAACUCUUUCAGUGGGGAAGAUAAUGACGGUACCCACAGAAGAAGUCCCGGCAAACUCCGUGCCAGCGGCCGCGGUAAUACGGAGGGGGCAAGCGUUGUUCGGAAUUAUUGGGCGUAAAGGGCAUGUAGGUG
This 400-nucleotide ribosomal RNA is filed under the name Anaplasma bovis. RNAcentral describes it as "bacterial SSU rRNA". It matches the Rfam family "Bacterial small subunit ribosomal RNA", at positions 143 to 577 of the family's 1533-position model. The record is from RNAcentral. Lineage: Bacteria; Pseudomonadati; Pseudomonadota; Alphaproteobacteria; Rickettsiales; Anaplasmataceae.